GGUGAGGUAACGGCUCACCAAGACCGCGAUCGGUAGCCGGACUGAGAGGUUGAACGGCCACAUUGGGACUGAGACACGGCCCAGACUCCUACGGGAGGCAGCAGUGGGGGAUAUUGCGCAAUGGGGGCAACCCUGACGCAGCAACGCCGCGUGAAGGAUGAAGGUUUUCGGAUUGUAAACUUCUUUUAUUAAGGACGAAAAAUGACGGUACUUAAUGAAUAAGCUCCGGCUAACUACGUGCCAGCAGCCGCGGUAAUACGUAGGGAGCAAGCGUUGUCCGGAUUUACUGGGUGUAAAGGGUGCGUAGGCGGCUUUGCAAGUCAGAUGUGAAAUCUAUGGGCUCAACCCAUAAACUGCAUUUGAAACUGUAGAGCUUGAGUGAAGUAGAGGCAGGCGGAAUUCCCCGUGUAGCGGUGAAAUGCGUAGAGAUGGGGAGGAACACCAGUGGCGAAGCGGCCUGCUGGGCUUUAACUGACGCUGAGCACGAAAGCGUGGUAGCAAACAGAUUAGAUACCCUGGUAGUCACGCUGUAACGA
RNAcentral lists this ribosomal RNA (536 nucleotides) under uncultured bacterium. RNAcentral's name for it is "bacterial SSU rRNA". It matches the Rfam family "Bacterial small subunit ribosomal RNA", at positions 251 to 809 of the family's 1533-position model. The record is from RNAcentral.